GCGCACGUGGUGAAAUUGGUAGACACGCCACCUUGAGGGGGUGGUGCCUUAACUGGUGUGGAAGUUCGAAUCUUCUCGUGCGCACAA
This 87-nucleotide transfer RNA is filed under the name Marivirga tractuosa DSM 4126. Its description in RNAcentral is "tRNA-Leu". It matches the Rfam family "tRNA". From Rfam's summary of the family: Transfer RNA (tRNA) molecules are approximately 80 nucleotides in length. Their secondary structure includes four short double-helical elements and three loops (D, anti-codon, and T loops). The record is from RNAcentral. Lineage: Bacteria; Pseudomonadati; Bacteroidota; Cytophagia; Cytophagales; Marivirgaceae. RNAcentral also lists the same sequence under 1 other name.